GGCUCCGUAGUGUAGUGGUUAGCACGUCUGCUUUACAUGCAGAAGGUCCUCCUGGGUUUGCACCCCAAGUGGAGCCA
RNAcentral lists this transfer RNA (77 nucleotides) under Pteropus alecto (black flying fox). It matches the Rfam family "tRNA". Rfam says of the family: Transfer RNA (tRNA) molecules are approximately 80 nucleotides in length. Their secondary structure includes four short double-helical elements and three loops (D, anti-codon, and T loops). The record is from Rfam by way of RNAcentral. Lineage: Eukaryota; Metazoa; Chordata; Mammalia; Chiroptera; Pteropodidae.